This is a non-coding RNA of Oryctolagus cuniculus (rabbit), 14091 nucleotides long. The record is from RefSeq and is a predicted model, not a curated record. NCBI's taxonomy places the organism in Eukaryota, Metazoa, Chordata, Mammalia, Lagomorpha, Leporidae.
ACAAAAAACAAGAUUUACUUAUUUUAUUUGAAAGUCAGAGUUAUACAGAAAGAGAAGGAAAGGCAGGGUAGGAGGAAGGGUCUUCCAUCCACUGGUUCACUCCCCAGUUGGCCUUCACGGUCGGAGCUGCGCCAAUCCGAAGCCAGAAGCCAGGAGCUUCUUCCAGGUCUCCCACAUGGGUUCAGGGGCCCAAGGACUUGGGCCAUCUUCUAUUGCUUUCCUAGGCCAUAGCAGAGAGUGGGAUCGGCACUGGCACUGCAGGCAGUGGCUUUAACCGCUAUGCCACAGUGCCGGCCCCUCCUGACUAGUUCUUUGGAGAGUAGUAAGGAGUAACUCUAGAACCCAGAUUUUAACCUCGAAAUGUCAUUUUCUAUUAAAAUGAAUAAGACCUCCUUGGAGAAAUUGUAAGAAGUGUACAAUAUGAGAUGGAAACUCUUUGUUGGACCUGAAAGAAAGGAAGCUAUCAAAGAACACUAGGGAGGAGGGGGAUAGUGCAGCAUACUGGCGUAGUGGGUUAAGGCCUCUGCCUGUGACGCUGGCAUCCCGUAUGGGUGCUGGUUGUGUCUCGGCUGCUCCUCUUCCAAUCCAGCUCCCUGCUAAUGGCCUAGAAAAGCAGUAGAAGAUGGUCCAAGUGCUUGGGCCCCUGCACCCACAUGGUAGACCCAGAUGAGGCUCCAGGCUCUUAGUUUCAGAUUGGCACAACUGUUGCAGCCAGCUAGGGAGUGAACCAGUGGAUGGAAGAUUCUCUCUCUCUCUCUCCCCCUCUGUGUGUGUGUGUGUGUAACUCUGCCUUUCAGAUAAAUAAAAGUAAAUCUUUAAAUAAAGAAAGAAUACUGGGGUCAUUUCAAAAGGUUUUAGGAGUCAAUUUAAAGGUUUUUUCUUUUUUUUUGCUAAAGAUGGGAAACUUGGUAUAUCAAAAUAGUUACAAUGAAUUGAAACUCAUGUUAAAAUCUUUGAGUUUAAAAAUUGCACCCAAAUGCACACAAAUUUAACAGUAUGUUAGGAAACUCAUUAUUCUGAAAAUAGGUAAAUAAGAAGUAUGAAACAAUUAUACUGCGUUUUCCGUAGAAUCCAUACCUUAGGGUAACCUAAUAGUUGAUAUGGAAUUCUUUUUAAGAAGGACUACCAGGUAAUAAAAAUAUGGAAUAGGAGUUUUGUAACAUAAUCAUUUUGUUACCUCUGAUGAAAUAAUGAAUCUAGGGAAUGAUGACUAGUGUCUUCGCAGAUCAGUCUGGAAAAGUUGAAGUGGAUGGAUCUAGUUGACAAUUCAGGACUCCCCUUAUCAAUCACAAAGUACCACUGACCUCUGUAUCUGAAGGUUCUGCACCCAUAGACUCAACCAACUAUGGGUCAAAAAUACUAGAAGGAAACCACAUUUGUACUGAACACAGGCAGACGUUUUCUUGUCCUUAUCCUUGAUGAUACAGUGCAACAACUAUUUGCAUAGCAUGCACUUUGUGGUAAGUAUUAUAAGUAAUCUAGAAUGAUCUAAAGUACAUGGGAGAUGUACAAAGUUUAGAUGAAAAUACUAUGCCAUUUUAUAUAUGGGACUCGAGCAUCUACAGAUUUUGCUGUCCGUGGAAGGUCUGAAACCAAUCCCCCACAGAUUCUGAGAGACCACUAUAAUAGAUAGCCGGAUAUGACACACCUUCUGCUACAAAUCAACAGGAAGAGCUAACACUGGUAUUCUAGUACUCCAUUUUAACAAGUAAAAAGCUGAAAAAACUGAAAAAAAAUCUUAGAUCUCUAAGAGCAGGGAGGUUACACGGCAGACACACUUUCCUGAGACUGGAGAGAGAGAGGCAAACACAGAGAAUUACAGCUGUCAAAGCAGAAAUCCAGGAGUGGAAACCUCUAUUGGAUCCAGUGCCAGGAGAGGAAACCUGAUUUCUGACUGACAAAGACCUUGAGGUUCAGAGGGGAAAGUCCGUGAGAACAGCUCCUGGGUAUCCUGGUCAUCAGGGGUCCCCUACACUUUUGUGAGUUUUGUCUCCAGGUACUGUAUCAUAUUCUCACAGUGAAUGACAAAGAAAAACUCUCUCCUGUUUCUGGCAGAGGGAAAAGGAAAAUGGCCAUUUUGAAAUGUACCGUAACAUUCUCUGAGUAAGGUCUGCCUCCAGGACAAACAACUUAACCAGAAUUUUAUCUACUGUCAGAGCUUACCUGACCUUAAGAAAGGGAAGUACACAACUCCAGCCUAUUUCAAUCAUCCUGACACACUUAAGAGGCAUAGGGAGAACUGAGAAGCACUUGUGAAGUUCACAGCCCAGAGGCAGAGACUUGCAAGAAAACCAAGAUGUAAGAAUAUAGAAUAUUUUCUCUCCUUCAGGACUUUAUCACCACAUCACAAAAGACCAUUUAUAGCAGUUCUUUAUACCUAGUACAUCAUGACCAGCUAUAACAACAAUAACAAAAGUGACAAGGAACGCCAAAAAGGCAAAUACCCCCACAUCUUGAAUACACAUAGCAGGCAUCAGAACCAAACUCAGAUAUAGCAGGGAUGUUGGAUUUACCAGACUGAAAAUUUAACAUACUUGUGAUUAAUAUGCAAGGGACUCUAACAAAUAAAGUAGACGGCAUGAAGAACAGAUGACCAAUGUAAGUGGAGAGAUGGAAAUUCUGAGAAGGAAUAAAAAAAUAAAUGUGGGCGAUAAAAACACCAUAACAGAAAUGAAGAAUACCUUAGAAGGGCUAAUUUGUAGAUUGAACGUACUACUGAGGAAAGAAUCUCCAAGUUUGAGACUAUCUCAAUAGAAAUCUACAAAAUUGAAAAGCAAAGAGGGAAAAAGACCAGAGCCAGUGCAGGUGGGAAAAGGACAGAACAACCAAGAAGUGUGGAACAUGGACAAGAGGUAAAAAUAUGUGCAAUGGUAAUACAACCAGGAGAAGAAAGAAGAAGGCACAGGUAAAAUAAAUGAAACAAUGACUGAAAAUUUCCCCAACUAUUAUCCAACACCAAAUCACAUUCCAGGAAACUCACAGAAGACAAAGUAGGAUAAACGCCAGAAAAAGCUACACCCGAAAAUAGCACAUUCAAGCUACAGAAAAUGAAAGAGAAAGACAAGACUCUGAAAGAAGUUAGAGGAAUAAAUAAUCUUAUAUAGAGGAUCACAGAUAACACAUAUCCAAAUUCUCAGUAUCCACGCAAACAAGAGGAGAAUGUGUUAAGAGAAAAAUCCUCCAACCUGGAAAGAUACCAGGAAAAUAAUCCUUCAAAAAAUGAAGGAAAAACAUGAACUUUCUCAGGCAAACACAAAGAGAAUGUGUUGUCAGAAGACCUGCCUUUCAACAAACAGUAAAAAUUCUCUAGAGGCAAGGAAAAUGAUAUAGAUCUGAACCUUGAAUAUAUGUACAGAAUGCAAAAUUGAAGGAACAGUGAAGGUAAGACAAAACCUUUUAUUUUUAUUACUCCUUCUUUAUCUAACAGAUAUUUCUUCAAAAUAAUAAUACCAAGAACAUAUUUGAUUAUUCAUGCUUUCUACGUAUCAGCUUAUAUAUGCGUGUAUAUAUAGGAAAAGAAUAAAGCCAUUGACGCAAGGGAUAGGAAGGAGGAAUUAGAAUUAUUUUGCUAUUGUAAGAUGUCCACAUGAUCCAUGAAGUGAUAUGGUGCUCUUUAAAAGUGGACCUGAAGUAGUUGUAAAUGUAUAUUGCAAGCUUUAGGGAAGACUCUCUCUCUCUCUCUCUCUCUCUCUCUCUCUCUCUCUCUCAAACACACACACACACACACACACACACACACACAAGCUAACUGAUACACUAACAAAGCAAAGAAAAUAGACUAAUGUCAAAUGCUCAACUGAAACCUCUGGAUCACUUGGGUUCAAAUCAUGAGCCAGAAACCAUACAAUAAUUUAAAGAGGGAAAGCUUAACAUAAAGAUUUAUUUAGUAUCAAAGAACUGAGGACUGAGGGAGUAAAUUCUGAAGCACAGAGGAACGGGAGAGGUAAGGAGCAGCUAUGACCUCUGGGUCUCACAGGAAGUUCAGUUAAGGAAGGAUAAAAUCUAGAGUGGCCCUUCCUCCACCCAAGGUUGAGAGCCAGAUCUCAGAGAAGUUGCAUUUGUGGCUACUGGGUAGUGAAGGAGUUCACUGGGGUUGUAUGGACUGCAAGGGGAGAGCAGAGUGGUGAUGGGAAGACAUCUGCUGGGCACCUAUGAGAGUUACUGGACCAUUGGGCACGUGAGUUACCAGCUGUACUCCUGUCUCACAAGUUGUACCAUUUUUCACUAUAGGAACAAGCGGAGAAUACAGCAGAGCCAGAAAAGUCACGUUUCCACCAAGUCCCUCUGGUGCCCUCUACUGGCCAAGUUUAACGUCUUCCCAGUUGGCAAAAAAAUCUGGUCAUAGGGUCCAGCUCCAGUAUCAUACAUUGGAAGAAAAAGUCUGCUCAGAAUCAGGCGGGGCUAAGAACAUACCUCAUGUUCCCUGAAUACACCUGACUGGGAAGAUGGGACUAUCACUCUGGCUGGGGAUGGGAGAGGAAGGGAUUUUCCUCGCAUGGAGACAUUUGGGAUUGGAACUAGGAAGCCAUCCAGGUAGACAUGUGCUCUUAGCAUUGAACGGGGCUGGCAAAAUAAUUGCCUUAUAUAAGUUUAAGAGUGCCAAGCACUGACAACAGUGGCUAAGCUAUCCUAAGCAUUAUGAACCUGCUUGUUGUUUCUGUUUUGUGUUAAUGAUCUCUGCAUCAUCAAACCUGGAGCAGGCACUACUGUAACUCAGCCUUAGCCUCCCGAAGGAGAGAGCUGACCAGGACCUCACUGUGUCCUCCAUUUCCCCUGUUCCUGGUGUUUUUAGGAAAGGAAGACAACAGUGGCACCGGCUUCCUCAGCAAAGACUGAUGAUAGAGAUGCUGCCAGCAGUCUUGGAGUUAGAAAGGUGAUGAUUGCAAUAAUGCUGGCCACAGGGAGGGCAGCGGAGUGCCCUGCAGGACCCUGUGGAGCCCUGAGGAGUUCAGCAGCAACUGGGCACUGGGGUCCUGAGCAGGCACCCACAGGUAUGGCAGGGAGUAGGAGCCAUCAUGCCUAUGGUCCAGGAUGAGGUGGAGGUCACGCCAAGGAGUUUGCUAACUAGUGGAAGGAAGUUGAUUGAACAUCGCAUGGAGGCUUUUGGAGGAUAGGAUUUCAUUUCCUACCCCCGAGGUGGUGGUAAUAUCUGUGUGGGUAGCAAGUGUGUGUGCCACAAGCAGGCAGACAUGCAUGUGUGAGUGUGGACAUUGAGUUGUGUGGCAUCAGGGGCAAUGGGAGGAUACAAUCUUUGGCAAAGGGAGCAAGACUUCACAUUUAGGUUAAAUAUGUGAGUAAGUGAACAUCAGUUGAUAAUCAGCUCCAUAGAUGUUUCUCCUCUACAGUGAAGCUGGGUUUCAUACACAUUUCAUUUAUGGUGAAUCACUCAAAGUGCUUGACUUAGCAGAUAAGCUAGCUCAAAAACUAAUGAGACAAUAUAGGAGAGAGAAGGGACAAAAGUACUCAUUGAAAUUUUAAAAAUUAUUUAUUUAAGAGGCAGAAAGAGACAGAGAGCCCCCAAUUGCUUGUUUACUCUGCCAGUGCCUGCAACCAAGAGACUGUAGCUGAAGCCAGAUCUUCUACCUGGGAGCGGGAGCCCAAUCACUUGAGCUCUGCUUCCCAGGGUCUGCAUUAGCAGCAAUCUGGAGUUAGGUAUUGACCCCAAGAAUACUAUUGUUGUUGCUUAAAUAUUUAUUUAUUUGAAAGGCAGAGCAACAGAGAGAAAGAGAGAGAGAGAGAGAGUCAGAGACACAGAGAGAGAUGGAUAAAGAGUUAGACAGAGAGAAAGAGAGAGACAAAUCCAUCUACUGAUGCCCUUCCUAAAUGCCCAUUGGGUUAGACGAAAGCCAAGAGCCAAGAACUCCACCUGGAUCUCCAUGUGGGUGGCAGGGGCCAAAAUACUUGGGACAUCCUUCUUACUGCCUUCCUAAGAGCCUUACUUAGCAGGAAUCUGGAUCAGAAGUGGAGUAUCCUGGACUCAAACCAGCACUCCAAUAUAGGAUGCCAGCACGGCAAGUAAUAGCCUAACCUGCUGCACCACAAUGCUGGCCUUAACCACAGGGUAUUCUAUGAUGGAGUGUGGGCAUCCUAACUGUUGUCUUAACCCUUAGGCUAAACACCCACCAGCGGUACUCAUUUUAGUAGUGUAUCUACUCUGACACCAAAUGGGGCUCCCUUGGGUCAUAUGGGUCCUCACAUGGCUCUCCCAGUGCAACACCUUGCAGCUCUGUGGAAUGCUAGCCCUUAAAGAUCUGCUUUUGGUUUUAAUAAUGCAAAGCAACCAGCUUAUCUAGAACACAAUGAAGAAUAUCAAUUUCUCUCUUUUCAUAGGAAAAUGAAAUUUCAGAAUUGUAUUUUAUGUCUCAUAUUAAGUGGAAUCCUAUAUAAGUAAUGGAUUGUAUAGUUAGAACUAUGAAUUCCAUUUUAGUGUAAGGGAAGCUUUGAUAAUCUAGGUGAUAAAAGAUUUUGUUUCAUAUGGUGACUUUAGACCCUAUCCUUGCACAACAUGUCUCCUCUGUAUGAUUCUUUUUUAUAAAUAGGAAAUCAAACACUUGCUUCCUUUGAGUGUGGUGAAUGAGUGUUGCAUUUACUAUUUUGUUUCAUACAAAGCUAAAGUGACUCCCUAAGGAGCAGGAAAGGACAGGAAGAACACUGAAAAGUGAAAAUGAAGCUUAAAUGUAGCAUCUGGGGGAAGAAAGGGUCAAAGGUUUGGAAAGCAUCCCUUGUCAAUAUCUCAAAGGGAAUAAACAGUAAUGGGUAUGGGUAGCAAUGAAAGAGACCUGCCACAAGGAAGUGAACUUGGCUACCUGUACUGAGAAGCCUAAGUCUGAUGUUAGGGCCCAGACGUGACUAUAAGCAGUUUAUCAUCUGAGCCGUCUGUGCACACCCGGACCCCUACCUACAUUUUAGCCCUCUAUGAAAAGGCAUAAGACACCCAUUAAUGCAAAGCAAUCCUGUGGCUGCUGCUUAGGAGGCACGAAUGUGCUUUUGACUCUGCCUGUGGCCUUUACUCUGCUUUUUCUGGAGCCCUCCUUGGAAUUAGCAACGCCUUUGGGGGCUUCAGGCGUGGCUGUGUUUUUUGUUAACUGAAGACAGAAGAGCCCCUGGGUAGAGAAGUCCAGCUGGGCUCUUUGCUGGGGUUCACAAGCACGUGGCCCAAUUCAAAUGAUUUGAGGGCGAGAGGAAAGCGAUGGGAAAGGGUGAGAAUCGUUCGGACAGGAACGGAACUGGAACCUGACCCAGAACAAAGCCUUCAUGAUCAGGGCAAGAAGAACGGUUGAGUAUGAGGCAGCAACUGUUCCCGGAAUCUCUCCUUAGCCUCGCUGCUGGCUGGAUCCUGCGGAAGGACAGCACUGUGGAGGCAGGGGAAAGUGCUGAUGCACAGCACUGUGGAACACGUGAGCACGCGGCUUUGCUCUAUGAUUCUUGUAGACGGGGUCAAACACUGCUUAGGCUGAAGGAGAGGAGACCGUCCAUCCAUCUGCACACCAGACCCACCUGGGGAUCCAGGCGGUUGCUAACUGGGGAGUGUCCACUCCUGGUCCUGUGGAAGUGGUAGGGCUGCCGCUGAGCUCAGGGGUCACAGGAGGCAGAGGUGCCCAAGCACUGGAGCAGCUGCGACCCUCGGAUUGUGGGGGCUCCUGCCUUUCCUGAGCUGGGAAAACAAUUCUCAGGCAGUUGGAAUGCUCUGCAGUGUAGAUUAAAGCGAACACUUUUUUGGUUUUCAGUUUUUCUGGGCUUCAAGUGAUUUCCUUACACAAAGCCUGGAAUUAUGUGACUUUAUAAAAAGUAGUUUCAGAUGCAUUACUGUAAAAUAAAUUUAUUAUUCCCUAACAUUCCAAUUUGUUUUACCUGUCAGUGAUGUAAGCCUCUUGUUGUGUGACAGAAGCUUGUGUGUCUCUUGACUUUCCCAUAGCGUUUUCUUUAGACUUUAGAAUGUUUCUGAUACAAACUAUGCUUCAAAAUAAGAAAAUACAUUGGGCGAUUCCCUGAUACUUUUCAAGAGCAGCUUAGGGAGAAAAUCAGUUUUCCAAGUUUGUUGUAUAUAAUUUCCACACAAACCUCCUAAAGCAAAAUCAAUAUGCAAUAAAAUCCUGGGCGCUGGAACUAUCGCUGUCAGUUUCUCACGGAGAAGUGUAUUAGAUCCAAUUCCCCAUUCGACUUGUGCACAUUUUGUGUCUAGAUACCCUUUUUGAAAACCCAGAAUGAAAAUGCCUGAUACUUUCUGCACAACUUAUUUCCUGUACUUUUUUUUUCUGCUUCCAGUAGAAGAUUUGCAAAGUAGCAUAAUACAUUUUUUAAAAAAGUAUUCAAGAAAGAAGGAGAGAGAGUCAAUUUACAAGAAUAAUUGACUGCUUUUCCUGAUUAUGGAAGGAGGAAAAUACAAAAAGAAGUCAGCAGGCAGGGCCCUGUUCUGUGCUAUUGACUUCUUAUCGCCAUCCUAACCUCUCUCGCAGGUUGGGUCAGGAUGCAGUUCCUCCAGUUCUGCAGGAGGCCAACCUGACCUUUGGCUGGGCUGCCUAAAGGCCGGGUGCUUCCUCCCGCCCAGGGGGCCUGGGUGCAGCCAUGCAAACGUUGCUGGUUAAUCACGGGCAGGUCCUGUCUCCUGACUUCCUGUUUACUUUCCUCCACCAUCACACUCAGAGCCUUGCUUCGAGCUUCCAGGAAUUAAUAAAGGAAAAGACAAACAGACUACUGAGAUUCUAAUUAACUUUGAUAUGGAUUUAUGUGUAAAAUUGGGCGAGUCACUGAUUUUUAAUAAAUGGGCGAGAAAACCUUAGAUUAAUGUAAUAGCUGAGAACACAGGAACCAGAACUUUGAUGCUUGCUUAAUUCUUUCUCCCAACCCAUGUCAUUUGGAGGGGAAAAAAAAAAAUCAAAGACCAUUAUGAAGGGGGAAAGGAAGAGGGAUUAUGCAAAUUAAAAGUGCACAGGACUAAAUCAUUAGUCUUGUGCAAAUGAGAUGCUCCUUCUUGUACUUUUCAGAAGUGUUUUGGGGCUAUAUUUGCAGAGGAUUCAUUCCUGAAAAUAAUGAGAAAUGGAGGCAUGAUGAAAAAGAACAUGACUAUAAAUGAGCUGAUCUUUCUAUGUAUUACAAGCAGUUCAAAAAAAAAAAAAAAAAAAAAGAAAGAAAUAACAGCACUUGGGGUCCAGCAAGAACUUGGCCUUUUUAUUUUAAUAUCCAUCUUUUAAAUGAAGCAACAGCAAUGAACUAGUGACAUGCACAUGUUGAGUUCCCCCUCUUCCACCUCUUCCAGGCACUGUGGCAGGAGUCUGGGCCAUUAUGUCUGCUUUUCCAGCUGUUCUCACUAGGGGUCUGUUCCCUCUUUCGCCCUGGAUUGGAGACUGAGCGGAGUGCAGGGUUCUGACUGCUAACAGGAGCAUCUCAGUAGUAGGGGUGGCCCUCUGGGCUCUCCAGCCUCUCAUUUUCCCAUGUGAUGGAAUGUUCCAGUGUUGAAUAGCAUCAAGGUUAAAUAAUUUAGCCUACAUCUCCCUUUUGCCUGUUUGCAGACAGCUAAUAGAGAUAAAGAUUUAUUUUGAGUGGUUGUACAGAUUAAGUAUUCAAUUUUUUUCCUAAACGAUAAACUGACAUCCUGAUAGAUUUGAAGCAAUGCACAAGGCCCUAUUUGUUUGAUUAACCUUGACUGUGGAUGCUUUUGUAGCUUAGGCAGCUGGUUUGAACAAACUUGUAAUUUCACAGCCUUACAAAAAAGUCAUUAAUCUUUUAUUGUUUUAUAAAGCAGGAACUUAGUGUGUACUUACUGAUAAUGAGGGGACAUGUGUAGGUUGACAUAAUUUAUUGAUACUUUAUUUCACACCUGAGUUCUUAUGGACAAAUGCUUAUAAAUAACAUCCUGGGAUGUACAUGUUUUCUCACCUGUAGUAUUUUUUUUUUUUUAGAAUGAAACCUCAAGAUUGUAUUGUCAUUGAGAUUUUUGAGAAAAGUAACUAAUAGUGGUUCAGAGUUUGGAGCUGAUUUCUGGCUUUGCCUAUUAUUUGUGUGCAACUUUGUGUAAGUCAUGUAACCUCUCCAAACUCAAUUUCUUAAGCUCAAAGAUGGAAACAUCAUUUGUAUACCAAAGUUGUUCUGUCUGAAAUGAAGUAAUAUGUUGGAAUUGUUUAGGCCAGUGUUUACCACAUAGUAAACUACUUAAUAGCAUAGCUGUUAUUAUUAUUCCUAGAACUCCCUGGGUUAAGUAUACAUAUAUUAAAAUAUUGAUGCAUAUUGUCAAAGUUCAUCUUGAAUUUGAGUUGUGGGAUUCAUUCAUGAACGUGCUGUAGUUAAAGGUGAUACGGAUGUGCACACAUGUAAAAGUCGGCCCUAGCAUCGACCUGUCUUGCAUACAUUCUCCCACUGUCUGCUUUUUUCCUUUGGAGAACCUCUUUUCCCUCAUUCCCAGUCUGUGCAGUUCAGUGAGGUUGACUCUAUCCUCUGACCUCAGAAGGAAGCAGGAGUACAUGAGCAAGUGUAGGAAAUCAAAAGAUCAUAUCCCUCACUUCCCCUGCACAGCAACUGGGUCGGUAAAGGCAGCGUGAUGAUCUGGGUCACUGAGAACCCACCCUUGGAUGUUAUUGACUGAUUGGGAAAGUGACCUUUUGCUGGUGUUGCUAAGCUUAGAGCUGCUCUUGACCAUCUUUGUUCCAGAAUAGAAAGAAUCUACUAGACCACGAAGUAUGGAGAAAGCCGGUGCUAAAAUACGGAGAACUUCCCGUAUGAACACUUGGAAGCAACUUGUCCGGACAUUUGAAUUGGUUCUCUUAGAAGUUGAGUGUCAUCCGUGGAGAGGGAGGUAACCAGGAGGUGGUCCAGGCACAAAAAAACAGCUCUCCCACAGCUGUACUUAGAAAGGAAAGUAUGAAAAAUAACAUUAACAGCAAUAACUUUCACCCACUCUUGUGAUUGUGCUAACAUAUCCAAAGAAGAAAUGGCUUGUUAGGAAGGGGGUUGUCUGGUAAGGAAAUCAAGAAAAAAGAAAGUCAUGGAGACAAAGUUUGGCAGUUCCCCGCAAGUACUGUUUGGAGGGGCAUGAGUCUCUGGGGCUGGUGUGAUUGGCAGAUAUGGUCUAGAGUGUUCCGGAUGGAUGCCCCAGGCUGCUUAUGCUACUUCAUAGUUUGUUCUAACUUUUUGCUCUCUGCAUUCAGCCUUCUGAUUAUAAUUUGGAUCCCCAUUUUAAUUUCUAUGUAGGAAGAGGAAUUCCUUGGGAGUAGCAGGCCCCUUUUUGUUAUCUCACAUGACAUUGUUCCUUCUGAGCUUCCAAAGGGUUGAGUCAUCAUCCCCCUGUGCUGUCCAGCCCUGCGGCACAGGCGAGACUGCCAGCCUGUCUGUGACACCCAGGGCCAGUCUCUGCCUGUUGGUAAGGCCUCAUGACAGAUAGAUGGCUGCUAUUCACAAUGACUUUUCCAUAAACUCUUCUCCUCAACUGUGCACCCUCCCUAACUCACUGCAUUCCAGGCAACCAAGAAUCCAGCAACAAGCUUUCCAGUCUGCUAGGAAGCUGUCCCACACUGCAAGAAUCAAUAGCUGGGGCAUUUUUUUUUUCACAUGGAGAAUUUGAAGGCAUCACUCAACUCCUAUUUACUUUGUUCAGUUGUGUGUGUGUGUGUGUGUGUGUGUGUGUGUUCAUAAAAGUUACUCUUAAUCAUUAUAGAAAAAAAAAUAAUGAGGAAGGAAAAAAAAAGUUAAUGCCCCUAACCAGAGGCAAGCAUAGUUCACAUUUUGGCAUAUUUUCUCUCAGGCAAUUUCAUUUUUACUUUUAAUUUAUAUGCAGUUUUAAAAGGUUCAUUAUCUGGUUCCCAAUUCCACUGUAGAUUAGAACUGGCAAUUUAGAGAAAGGGAAGAGAAAGAAAAGUCGUAAAAAGUAGAACAAUUUGUUAAAAUGCAUAGUGUUCUGGAGGCAUUUAUUUAAUGGGCCACAACCAUGCACAGCUCAGUAACUCCUGGGGUCAGUCACUGUAUUAUAAUUGUUACAGUAAUAAGUGUAUAUCUUGAUGACCUCAAAUCAUCAUUAAAUGAUUAAAUUAUGUCUGGUAUACUGUUGGAAGUUAGAGACAUAGAGAAUAUACUUUUUUUAUUUUUUUUAUUUUUUAUUUACUUUUUGACAGAGUGGACAGUGAGAGAGAGAGACAGAGAGAAAGGUCUUCCUUUGCCAUUGGUUCACCCUCCAAUGGCCGCCAUGGCUGGCACACUGUGGCCAGCGCACCACGCUGAUCUGAUGGCAGGAGCCAGGUACUUAUCCUGGUCUCCCAUGGGGUGCAGGGCCCAAGUACUUGGGCCAUCCUCCACUGCACUCCCUGGCCACAGCAGAGAGCUGGCCUGGAAGAGGGGCAACCAGGACAGAAUCCAGCGCCCCGACCGGGUGUGCCGGCGCCGCUAGGUAGAGGAUUAGCCUGGAACCCGCAAGGCGGAGGAUUAGCCUAGUGAGCCGCGGCGCCAGCCCGAGAAUAUACUUUUGAACUAUAUCAUUGAAGCUGGUUCAAAUGCAUUUGAAGUAAACUAGCUGUCUGCAAUAUAGAUAAAGGGACUACAAAAACUUUAUGGAAAAAUGGAAUGAAAAGAUAAGUUUAUUCUGGUGCAAAAAAAAAAAAAAAAAAACAAGAAAUCCAUGGAUAGCUUUUUCAUAAUAUGUGUUGUCCAGGAUCUUUGUGAAUACCCUUGAUAGACUUCUUCUUUUUCUCUAGGUUCCACAUCCAUUCUAUGCUCUCCCACUUUGGAGCAGCCAUGCUGUUGAUGGUAUUGACCACACCUUUUGUUCCAAACAAAGGCUUGCCUUGUCCUAACCUGGCUAAUCAUGCUAAUCAGUUCUCCAUGUGAAUUGCUUAAGUAGCUGACUCAAGAAUGAGCUUGUAGCCAUGCCCUACAGCAAGAGCUCAUAGCAUUUCUCUGACUACAGAGAUGACCCAGAGGCUCAAGUGAACCAGCUUUUCCUUUUUGCUCCGUCCAUAUGUGAAAAUGCAGCAAGACGCACCAUCUUGGAAGCAGAAAGUAUUCACCCGAAAAUUGAACUUUGCAGCAUCUCUGUUAUGGCCCAGCUUCUAGAACUGCCACUGGAUCUUCCAAUGAUUGACAGCCCUGGUGAAUCCAUCCACCAACCAUGAGGACACUCAAGGAGCCCUGUGGAAAGAGAGGACCCCCUGCAACAACCAGCACUGACUGCCGCUAAGUGAAUGAAUUGCAUUGAAAAUGAAUCCUUGGUGCCGGUUCUGUGGUGCAGCGGGUUAACGCUUUGGCCUGAAGCACCGGCCUCCCAUAUGGGCUCUGGUUCUAGUCCUGGCUGCUCCACUUCCGAUCCAGCUCUCUGCUACGGCCUGGGAAAGCAGUAGAAGAUGGCUCAAGUCCUUGGGCUCCUGCACCCAUGUGGGAGACCCAGAGGAAGCUCCUGAAACUUUUAAAAAAAUAAUUGCGUGUUGGAGUUUCCUUUUCCCUACAGAAUCUCAUUGAGUUGACUUAAGGUGGGACUCAGACACCCAUAGCUUAAAAAAAAAAAAAUCCCUAGAUGAUUUUAUUAUGUAGCUAGAGUUGAGAAGCAACUAACACCUUACAGUAUUAUCUUGGGGAAAUUUGAAGCUGAGAGACUUCAGCUUUAUAGGAAAGGAAUGGAGUUCUGACAAGUGUGAUUGCAGGAGUGGGUGGGCGUGGAAGUCCCCAGGAAUCAUGCUAAGGGAGGUCUAGCACAGUGCUGGGAGAGGAGGUGGAGAGAGGAGGUGCUCGAGAGGGGCAUGGAUGAAUCUGUACCAGGCAGAUGCCCUGUGGUCUGCCUCUGCACGUCCUAAAGGCAGCCUCAGUACCAAGGGGAGGUGGCCUGUGGGGACCCCUGAGAGACUGCCUUAAUCCGAUGCACAGACGUCGCAUUGGUUGUUUCCAACUGUGAGAAAAGGGAGGGAGGCGGUCUGGCUGGGAAGAUGGUGUGAAUCCAAAUGUAGAUGAAACCUAAAUAUGCCUUGCAUGCAUACACAUUGAUUUUCCCCCAAAAGUAUAUUGAUAUCAUCACAGUGAACGAAACACACAUUUUCCUUUAAAACAUAGUAUUGAAUUCACAGCAGCCUGUUAUUUUGUAUUUUCUUGUUCAAUAAAAACAAAAACUACAAUUAUUGA